GAAUCGCAUUUUGCCUCAUCACUAGACCAAAUGUCGAACGUUUGCGUUGUUGAACAUUAUUCAAAAUUUCAUUUUAAAAUUGCCAACUUCUCACAAAAGUUUUAAACGGACGAAUGAUUUGCACGUGAAAAAACGAGUAAUUUUUUGUUGCAACAGAAGAAAUGGAGCAAUAUAUUAGAAAUUUAAUUCUAAUAUAACAAGUAAAGGUUAGAAUUCUCUCUGCGUUGUUGAACAUUAUUUAAAAUUUCAUUUUAAAAUUGCCAACUUCUCACAAAAGUUUUAAACGGACAAAUGAUUUGCACGUGAAAAAACGAGUAAUUUUUUGUUACAACAGAAUAAAUGGAGCAAUAUAUUAGAAAUUUAAUUCUAAUAUAACAAGUAAAGGUUAGAAUUCUCUCUGCGUUGUUGAACAUUAUUUAAAAUUUCAUUUUAAAAUUGCCAACUUCUCACAAAAGUUUUAAACGGACAAAUGAUUUGCACGUGAAAAAACGAGUAAUUUUUUGUUACAACAGAAUAAAUGGAGCAAUAUAUUAGAAAUUUAAUUCUAAUAUAACAAGUAAAGAUAAAACAAACCAGGAUUGCGUUUACUUUAAUUUCCAAAAAACGAAUUUUAUGUUUGCCAAUUUAUUGCGUGAUUAUUUGAUGGAUCAACAAUUGCAAAAUGCGUUUGACAUGUAUGAUAUUAAUAAUGGCUUAUUGAAUUAUUAUAGCUUAUUAUAUAAAUUUUAGGAUAUUUUGGAAAAUUACAAAUUCUGUAUAAUAACUAUUAAGAAACAAUAAUUAUUAUGUUAAAAGUUAAAUUUCUUACUAUUUUUUAGAUUUGAUUUAUGACGAUUUUAUGAUAUCUUAAAUAUUACAACAUAUUUUGAAAUGUUUGAGUUUUAAGUUUAAAUUAUGCACAUCAUUGAUUUUCAAAAACAUUAAUCAAAAAGAAAUUUUUUUCUAUUACAACAACAUGAUAUCACAAUAAAAAUUUGAUCAAGUUGUUUUAUUUUAUUCACUAUAUUUAUCAGAUCUUGUACAAUUUAAUUUUUUUUAUUUGCAAAAUUCAUCAUUCGAAUCUCAAUGUCUAAAAACAUUGGACAACAAAAUGAACAUACACGUAUAAAAAUAUAUGUAAAUAAUAAAACGAUAUUUAAUAAUAAAUUUAUAAAAAUCAUAAAAUAAAAUAACGUAUAAUUGAUAUAUAAUAGUAAUAAGAAUGGAUUAGAUAAGAUUCAUAUAAAAUUAAGAAUUUUAUAUUUACACGAAAGAAGAUAAAUAAAUUUAUAAUUUGAUAUUUUUAUGAUGCAUUAUAUAUAACUAUUGCAAUAUAUUAUAAGUGUAUACAGUGUAUAUAUUUUAUAAAAUAACGAUCGUUAUAAUUACAAAUCGCAUAGCUGUUACAUAUGAACUUUGUUCUUCGCAAAAUGAUAAGUAUCGAUCGUGAACAGGAAAGGUCGACGACACGAAAUAAAAUCGUUUGUAUUGUUUCACGAAUAACUUAAAUUAUUAUUAAGAUUAACCGUUUGAAUUUUUAAAUCGAAAUAAUUUACAUGUAUAUUUUGAAUAAAUAAUAACAAGCUGAAUAUUUUCAAUUAAUCGAUGAAUAGUUUCUCUUUCAUCAUCUCUUCACAACAUGAUGUAAUUUUUAUUUGAAAUAUAAUUGAAAGUCAUCAGACAUGUAAAAAUCAAAAAUGAAAGAUGUAUCUGUUCUUUCCAUAUGCUGUAUUAUUAAUCAAAAUGUAAUUAGUAUUAAAAAGUUAUAUGUAUAAAAAAAAUGAAAAUUAUAUUCAUUAUUCUUUUCUACAAA
Molecule: long non-coding RNA, 1792 nt
Organism: Apis cerana (Asiatic honeybee)
Lineage: Eukaryota; Metazoa; Arthropoda; Insecta; Hymenoptera; Apidae
Source: RefSeq, a predicted model, not a curated record